This is a non-coding RNA of Manis javanica (Malayan pangolin), 915 nucleotides long. Lineage: Eukaryota; Metazoa; Chordata; Mammalia; Pholidota; Manidae. The record is from RefSeq and is a predicted model, not a curated record.
AAAUAUUAUAAAGGAAACAUCUUUGUAUGUACAGUAAUUAAAAUCUGUAUUUUUCUUGAAGGUAUAAAGAAUGGAAAUGCAUUUUUGAGGGAAAACAAAGUUGUAGAAAGUUUGUGAAAGAGGAAUCUUUGGAAAGGAAUUUUAUGUGUGAUCAAGAAUAAGAUUUGAAUGAAUACAUUUUAAUGGCAAGUCAUUGUGCAAACCUAGAAUUUGUUUUUCUCUCUGUUAAAAGGACAAAGUGUUCUUGGACUACUGGUCUGCUCUUGAUAAGAAUUUAAAAGGUUUUUUAUCUUUUAGGUAAUCUGUUCAGAAAACACAGAUUCUGAAUUUUGCCCAAAUAAUUUUCUGCAUUGUCUUUAUCAGGUCUUUGAUUACUUAAGAAAGCUGAACUCUUUCUAUCAAGAAAAACUAAGGCCAAAAGUUGUUCUUGACGACAGGAUAGCCCUUGAUUAUGUUUUAGCUGAGCAAGGAGGUGUCUGUGCUGUGGCCAACACCACCUGCUGUACUUGACCUAACAUUUCUGUGGAAGUUGAAACAGUUAUGAAGAUCCCUGAGCAAGCCACUUGGCUUAAACAGAAGGAUUCCCUGGACAGCCCUCCCCUUCUGUUUUGGCAAGACAGACCUGAUUCCUCCAGCUUUGCCUUCAGGAGGAAUAUGCCCAUUUGUGAAGGACCCCACUUCUCCUGACACUUGCCCUCUCUCAGGUAACCCUGGCCUGCAUGCGCCUCACAGUCUGCACCCCACCAGCCAACCUUGGGCAGCUGGGACUCUCCAGGCCUGUGGAGCUAAGGCCCAUCUCCAACCACCUGCACAGUCACAUGAAUGGAGGGAGCCCACCUCCCACCCCAAAAUCACUUUGAUGCAGCUGAUGAAGUGGGUCUCCACGUGGAGUUACUGUCUGCUGGGGUCCCUAGC